This 352-nucleotide unclassified non-coding RNA is filed under the name soil metagenome. RNAcentral describes it as "partial contains 5.8S ribosomal RNA, internal transcribed spacer 2, and large subunit ribosomal RNA". The stretch from base 1 to 120 matches the Rfam family "5.8S ribosomal RNA", at positions 35 to 154 of the family's 154-position model. The record is from RNAcentral.
GAUGAAGAACGUAGCGAAAUGCGAUAAGUAAUGUGAAUUGCAGAAUUCAGUGAAUCAUCGAAUCUUUGAACGCUCAUUGCGCCCGCCAGUAUUCUGGCGGGCAUGCCUGUUCGAGCGUCAUUACAACCCUCAGGCCCCCGGGCCUGGCGUUGGGGAUCGGCGGAGCCCCCCGUGGGCACACGCCGUCCCCCAAAUACAGUGGCGGUCCCGCCGCAGCUUCCAUCGCGUAGUAGCUAACACCUCGCGACUGGAGAGCGGCGCGGCCACGCCGUAAAACACCCAACUCUUCUGAAGUUGACCUCGAAUCAGGUAGGAAUACCCGCUGAACUUAAGCAUAUCAAUAAGCGGAGGA